This 497-nucleotide ribosomal RNA is filed under the name uncultured bacterium. Its description in RNAcentral is "partial 16S ribosomal RNA". It matches the Rfam family "Bacterial small subunit ribosomal RNA", at positions 28 to 507 of the family's 1533-position model. The record is from RNAcentral.
GAUGAACGCUGGCGGCGUGCCUAAUACAUGCAAGUCGAGCGAACAGACGAGGAUCUUGCUCCUCUGACGUUAGCGGCGGACGGGUGAGUAACACGUGGAUAACCUACCUAUAUUACUGGUAUAACUUCGGGACACCGGAGCUAAUCCCGGAGAAUAUAUUGAACCGCAUGGUUCAAUAGUGAAAUACGGUUUUGCUGUCACGUAUAGAGGGAUCCCCGCCGCAUUAGAUAGUUGGUAAGUUAACAGCUUACCAAGGCAACUAUGCGUAGACGACGUGUGGGGGUGGUAGGCCACACUGGAGCUGAGACAGGGUCCAGACUCCUGCGGGAGGCCGCAGUAGGGAAUCGUAGGCAAUGGGCGAAAGCCUGACGGAGCGACGGGGAGUGAGUGAUGAAGGUCCUCGGUUCGUAAAGCUCUGUUACGAGGGAAGAACAAAUGUGUAAGUAACUAUGCCCGUCUUGACGGUAACUAAUCAGAAAGCCACGGCUAACUACGUG